RNAcentral lists this ribosomal RNA (459 nucleotides) under uncultured Kurthia sp. RNAcentral's name for it is "bacterial SSU rRNA". It matches the Rfam family "Bacterial small subunit ribosomal RNA", at positions 341 to 792 of the family's 1533-position model. The record is from RNAcentral. Lineage: Bacteria; Bacillati; Bacillota; Bacilli; Caryophanales; Caryophanaceae.
ACGGGAGGCAGCAGUAGGGAAUCUUCCACAAUGGACGAAAGUCUGAUGGAGCAACGCCGCGUGAGUGAUGAAGGUUUUCGGAUCGUAAAACUCUGUUGUAAGGGAAGAACAAGUACGUUAGGUAAUGAACGUACCUUGACGGUACCUUAUCAGAAAGCCACGGCUAACUACGUGCCAGCAGCCGCGGUAAUACGUAGGUGGCAAGCGUUGUCCGGAUUUAUUGGGCGUAAAGCGCGCGCAGGUGGUUUCUUAAGUCUGAUGUGAAAGCCCCCGGCUCAACCGGGGAGGGUCAUUGGAAACUGGGAGACUUGAGUGCAGAAGAGGAUAGUGGAAUUCCAAGUGUAGCGGUGAAAUGCGUAGAGAUUUGGAGGAACACCAGUGGCGAAGGCGACUGUCUGGUCUGUAACUGACACUGAGGCGCGAAAGCGUGGGGAGCAAACAGGAUUAGAUACCCUGGUA